GUUCUCACUCUGGCUGCACAUGUACUAAAAUUGGAAUGAUACAGAGAAGAUUAGUAUGGCCUCUGCCUAAGGAUGACACACACAUUCGUGGAUGGUGUCCAAUCCAG
Small nuclear RNA from Carcharodon carcharias (great white shark), 107 nucleotides. The record is from RefSeq and is a predicted model, not a curated record. NCBI's taxonomy places the organism in Eukaryota, Metazoa, Chordata, Chondrichthyes, Lamniformes, Lamnidae.